This 672-nucleotide ribosomal RNA is filed under the name uncultured Lachnospiraceae bacterium. RNAcentral describes it as "bacterial SSU rRNA". It matches the Rfam family "Bacterial small subunit ribosomal RNA", at positions 58 to 731 of the family's 1533-position model. The record is from RNAcentral. Lineage: Bacteria; Bacillati; Bacillota; Clostridia; Lachnospirales; Lachnospiraceae.
CAAGUCGAACGGGAAUUACUUUAUUGAAACUUCGGUCGAUUUAAUUUAAUUCUAGUGGCGGACGGGUGAGUAACGCGUGGGUAACCUGCCUUAUACAGGGGGAUAACAGUCAGAAAUGGCUGCUAAUACCGCAUAAGCGCACAGAGCUGCAUGGCUCGGUGUGAAAAACUCCGGUGGUAUAAGAUGGACCCGCGUUGGAUUAGCUUGUUGGCGGGGUAACGGCCCACCAAGGCGACAAUCCAUAGCCGGCCUGAGAGGGUGAACGGCCACAUUGGGACUGAGACACGGCCCAGACUCCUACGGGAGGCAGCAGUGGGGAAUAUUGCACAAUGGGGGAAACCCUGAUGCAGCGACGCCGCGUGAAAGAAGAAGUAUCUCGGUAUGCAAACUUCUAUCAGCAGGGAAGAUAGUGACGGUACCUGACUAAGAAGCCCCGGCUAACUACGCGCCAGCAGCCGCGGUAAUACGUAGGGGGCAAGCGUUAUCCGGAUUUACUGGGUGUAAAGGGAGCGUAGACGGUGUGGCAAGUCUGAUGUGAAAGGCAUGGGCUCAACCUGUGGACUGCAUUGGAAACUGUCAUGCUUGAGUGCCGGAGGGGUAAGCGGAAUUCCUAGUGUAGCGGUGAAAUGCGUAGAUAUUAGGAGGAACACCAGUGGCGAAGGCGGCUUACUG